GACGAACGCUGGCGGCGUGCCUAAUACAUGCAAGUUGAGCGAUGAAGAUUGGUGCUUGCACCAAUUUGAAGAGCAGCGAACGGGUGAGUAACGCGUGGGGAAUCUGCCUUUGAGCGGGGGACAACAUUUGGAAACGAAUGCUAAUACCGCAUAACAACUUUAAACAUAAGUUUUAAGUUUGAAAGAUGCAAUUGCAUCACUCAAAGAUGAUCCCGCGUUGUAUUAGCUAGUUGGUGAGGUAAAGGCUCACCAAGGCGAUGAUACAUAGCCGACCUGAGAGGGUGAUCGGCCACAUUGGGCCUGAGACACGGCCCAAACUCCUACGGGAGGCAGCAGUAGGGAAUCUUCGGCAAUGGACGAAAGUCUGACCGAGCAACGCCGCGUGAGUGAAGAAGGUUUUCGGAUCGUAAAACUCUGUUGGUAGAGAAGAACGUUGGUGAGAGUGGAAAGCUCAUCAAGUGACGGUAACUACCCAGAAAGGGACGGCUAACUACGUG
Molecule: ribosomal RNA, 497 nt
Filed under: uncultured bacterium
Lineage: Bacteria
Description: partial 16S ribosomal RNA
Rfam family: Bacterial small subunit ribosomal RNA
Source: RNAcentral